This 202-nucleotide long non-coding RNA is filed under the name Mytilus galloprovincialis (Mediterranean mussel). Lineage: Eukaryota; Metazoa; Mollusca; Bivalvia; Mytilida; Mytilidae. The record is from RNAcentral.
GUGGCCAUUUUUUAAAUAGCGCCUUACGAAUAAAUUCUGACAGCAAAAAAAUAAAAUUACCAGGAAAGGUUCCUAGGGUCAUCGUCAAUCUUGGCAUGCGUCCGUACAUUUUUAUAAAAAAUAAUCUCAUCUGAAACUACUUGAAACCAAAUUUAGUCACACUCAUCAAAGAGGCAUUUAGUUUAUGAAUAGAACUUAAGUG